RNAcentral lists this ribosomal RNA (826 nucleotides) under uncultured bacterium. Its description in RNAcentral is "bacterial SSU rRNA". It matches the Rfam family "Bacterial small subunit ribosomal RNA", at positions 1 to 832 of the family's 1533-position model. The record is from RNAcentral.
UCGCAUGGUUAGAGAGAUUAUGAUCCUGGCUCAGUGCAUGAACGCUAGCGAGCAGGCCUAAUACAUGCAAGUCGAACGGUGUAGCAAUACACAGUGGCGCACGGGUGCGUAACACGUAUGCAACCUACCUAUCAUUGGGGGAUAGCCUUUGGAAACGGAGAUUAAUACCGCAUAAGACAGUAACAUGGCAUCAUGUAGCUGUUAAAGCUUUGGCGAUGAUAGAUGGGCAUGCGUCCAAUUAGUUAGUUGGUGAGGUAACGGCUCACCAAGACGAUGAUUGGUAGGGGAUCUGAGAGGAUAAUCCCCCACACUGGCACUGAGAUACGGGCCAGACUCCUACGGGAGGCAGCAGUAGGGAAUAUUGGGCAAUGGACGGAAGUCUGACCCAGCCAUGCCGCGUGCAGGAAGAAGGCGUUAUGCGUUGUAAACUGCUUUUUUAUAGGAAGAAGGAGACCUUGCGAGGUUUGGUGACGGUACUAUAAGAAUAAGCACCGGCUAACUCCGUGCCAGCAGCCGCGGUAAUACGGAGGGUGCGAGCGUUGUCCGGAUUUAUUGGGUUUAAAGGGUGCGUAGGCGGUUUAUUAAGUCAGUGGUGAAAGACGGUCGCUCAACGAUUGCAGUGCCAUUGAUACUGGUAGACUUGAGUUCGUAUGAGUAGCUGGAAUGGAUAGUGUAGCGGUGAAAUGCAUAGAUAUUAUCCAAACUCCAUUGCGUAGGCAGGUUACUAUACGAUACUGACGCUGAUGCACGAAAGUGUGGGGAUCAACAGGAUUAGAUACCCUGGUAGUCCACACUGUAAACGAUGACGACUAACUGUUUGCCCUUU